This 858-nucleotide ribosomal RNA is filed under the name uncultured marine bacterium. RNAcentral's name for it is "bacterial SSU rRNA". It matches the Rfam family "Bacterial small subunit ribosomal RNA", at positions 8 to 916 of the family's 1533-position model. The record is from RNAcentral.
AGAGUUUGAUCCUGGCUCAGAACGAACGCUGGCGGCAGGCCUAACACAUGCAAGUCGAGCGCGCCUUCGGGUGAGCGGCGGACGGGUUAGUAACGCGUGGGAACGUGCCCUUCUCUACGGAAUAGCCUCUGGAAACGGAGAGUAAUACCGUAUACGCCCUUUGGGGGAAAGAUUUAUCGGAGAAGGAUCGGCCCGCGUUAGAUUAGGUAGUUGGUGGGGUAAUGGCCUACCAAGCCUACGAUCUAUAGCUGGUCUUAGAGGAUGAUCAGCAACACUGGGACUGAGACACGGCCCAGACUCCUACGGGAGGCAGCAGUGGGGAAUCUUAGACAAUGGGGGCAACCCUGAUCUAGCCAUGCCGCGUGAGUGAUGAAGGCCUUAGGGUCGUAAAGCUCUUUCGCCUGUGAUGAUAAUGACAGUAGCAGGUAAAGAAACCCCGGCUAACUCCGUGCCAGCAGCCGCGGUAAUACGGAGGGGGUUAGCGUUGUUCGGAAUUACUGGGCGUAAAGCGCGCGUAGGCGGAUUAGAAAGUUGGGGGUGAAAUCCCGGGGCUCAACCUCGGAACUGCCUCCAAAACUGCUAGUCUAGAGUUCGAGAGAGGUGAGUGGAAUUCCGAGUGUAGAGGUGAAAUUCGUAGAUAUUCGGAGGAACACCAGUGGCGAAGGCGGCUCACUGGCUCGAUACUGACGCUGAGGUGCGAAAGUGUGGGGAGCAAACAGGAUUAGAUACCCUGGUAGUCCACACCGUAAACGAUGAAUGCCAGUCGUCGGGUAGUAUACUAUUCAGUGACACACCUAACGGAUUGAGCAUUCCGCCUGGGGAGUACGUCGCAAGAUUAAAACUCAAAGGAAUUGACGG